AGGAGGAUCAUUCGCAAUGGGCGAAAGCCUGACGGUGCGACGCCGCGUGAGGGAUGAAGGCCUUCGGGUCGUAAACCUCUGUCAGGAGUUAUGAACGACGGAGACCUUAAUACGGUUUCCGUGUGACAAAGGCUCCAAAGGAAGCCACGGCUAACUACGUGCCAGCAGCCGCGGUAAUACGUAGGUGGCAAGCGUUACUCGGAAUUACUGGGCAUAAAGGGCGUGUAGGCGGAUGCGCAAGUCCGGUGUAAAAGCCCUCGGCUCAACCGGGGAAAGCCAUUGGAUACUGCGUGUCUAGAGUGCGGGAAGGGAGAGUGGAACUCUUGGUGGAGCGGUGAAAUGCGUAGAUAUCAAGAGGAACGCCGGUGGCGAAAGCGGCUCUCUGGCCCGUUACUGACGCUGAGGCGCGAAAGCUAGGGGAGCAAACGGG
RNAcentral lists this ribosomal RNA (430 nucleotides) under uncultured bacterium. Its description in RNAcentral is "bacterial SSU rRNA". It matches the Rfam family "Bacterial small subunit ribosomal RNA", at positions 355 to 776 of the family's 1533-position model. The record is from RNAcentral.